UACGAAGGGUGCAAGCGUUAUCCGGAUUCAUUGGGUUUAAAGGGUGCGUAGGCGGAGCGUUAAGUCAGUGGUGAAAUCCUGCAGCUCAACUGUAGACUUGCCAUUGAUACUGACGCUCUUGAGUGCGCUUGAAGUAGGCGGAAUGUGCCGUGUAGCAGUGAAAUGCUUAGAUAUGGCACAGAACACCAAUUGCGAAGGCAGCUCACUAAACUGUAACUGACGCUGAGGCACGAAAGCGUGGGGAGCAAACAGG
Molecule: ribosomal RNA, 253 nt
Filed under: uncultured bacterium
Lineage: Bacteria
Description: partial 16S ribosomal RNA
Rfam family: Bacterial small subunit ribosomal RNA
Source: RNAcentral